RNAcentral lists this non-coding RNA (202 nucleotides) under Gluconacetobacter diazotrophicus. The record is from RNAcentral. Lineage: Bacteria; Pseudomonadati; Pseudomonadota; Alphaproteobacteria; Acetobacterales; Acetobacteraceae. RNAcentral also lists the same sequence under 1 other name.
CUUAAUCCGCCCCGUCAUGGUUCCGUGCCCCCCGUUCCGGGGCACGGCUAAGAGGGAAGCCGGUGCGACGCCGGCGCUGCCCCCGCAACUGUAGGCGGCGAGCAUCGGUCCAUUCGCGUCACUGGGGCGUCAUGCCCCGGGAAGGCCGGACCCAUUGCGCGGACCCGCGAGCCAGGAGACCUGCCAUGGCCGCAAGAAUCCU